This 462-nucleotide ribosomal RNA is filed under the name uncultured bacterium. RNAcentral describes it as "partial 16S ribosomal RNA". It matches the Rfam family "Bacterial small subunit ribosomal RNA", at positions 28 to 505 of the family's 1533-position model. The record is from RNAcentral.
GACGAACGCUGGCGGCGUGCUUAACACAUGCAAGUCGAACGGUAAGGCCCCAGCUUGCUGGGGUACACGAGUGGCGAACGGGUGAGUAACACGUGAGUGACCUGCCCCGCACUUCGGGAUAAGCCUGGGAAACUGGGUCUAAUACCGGAUAGGACCGCACCGUGAGGGUGUGGUGGAAAGUUUUUCGGUGUGGGAUGGGCCCGCGGCCUAUCAGCUUGUUGGUGGGGUAAUGGCCUACCAAGGCGGCGACGGGUAGCCGGCCUGAGAGGGUGGACGGCCACAUGGGGACGGGGACACGCCCCAGACCCCUAGGGGAGGAAGCAGGGGGGAAUAUUGCAAAAGGGGCGGAAGCCUGAUGCAGCGACGCCGGGGGGGGGAUGACGCCCUUCGGGUUGUAAACCCCUUUCACCAUCGACGAAGGUUUUCUGACGGUAGAUGGAGAAGAAGCCCCGGCAAACUACG